UUUUUUUUUUUGAAAAAUAAAAAAAAGAUAAAACAACGUCCAGAAAGAAAAAUCUGAAAUGGGAUUUACAGAAAUUUGUUAUAUUCAGUUCAAGAAGAAAUUACAGAAUUAUAAACCAAUUAUAACCUCUAAAGUAAGAGGUUAAAAAUUGAAGACAAAGGGUUGCUACAGAAAAAGAAACCAUGCAAUAUAAACAAAUAAAUUAAAAAAGAAAUUCCAAUGGAAAUCAGCAACACACAAACUGGAAAAAAAAGGGGAAAAUUUUGAUUUACCUAUGAAAGGAGUUGCAG
RNAcentral lists this unclassified non-coding RNA (290 nucleotides) under Hevea brasiliensis (rubber tree). Lineage: Eukaryota; Viridiplantae; Streptophyta; Magnoliopsida; Malpighiales; Euphorbiaceae. The record is from RNAcentral.